Molecule: ribosomal RNA, 252 nt
Filed under: uncultured bacterium
Lineage: Bacteria
Description: partial 16S ribosomal RNA
Rfam family: Bacterial small subunit ribosomal RNA
Source: RNAcentral
ACGGGGGGUGCAAGCGUUAUUCGGAAUUAUUGGGCGUAAAGGGCACGCAGGCGGUCUUGCCAGUCAGAUGUGAAAGCCCGGGGCUCAACCCCGGAAGUGCAUUUGAAACUACAAGACUUGAGUACGGUAGAGGAGAGGGGAAUUCCUGGUGUAGAGGUGAAAUUCGUAGAUAUCAGGAGGAACACCGGUGGCGAAGGCGCCUCUCUGGACCGAAACUGACGCUGAGGUGCGAAGGCGUGGGUAGCGAACAGG